Molecule: long non-coding RNA, 1244 nt
Filed under: Oreochromis niloticus (Nile tilapia)
Lineage: Eukaryota; Metazoa; Chordata; Actinopteri; Cichliformes; Cichlidae
Description: lncRNA (ENSONIG00000025602.2)
Source: RNAcentral
CACUUCAGAGCAGGCGAACUUUGAAGGUGUCUUCAUUGAAAAAGAUGAGGAAGUUGCUGAGUUUAUGAAAUACAUUCAGAGACACACAAAUGAUCGUCCCAGGACAUAUUACGUUCCUUUGCUCCGAUGUGUCCUGUAAAUAUUUCCCAUAUUUAAUCAAGGUGGCUCAGCUGAGGAACCCCUUGUCAAUGCGUCCUUUUCUCUCCGUCAUGCAUGCAAAGGCUCUCAUUUGGAAAUGCGAGGGCGAACAGACAUGCUGACCCUCCUGGCUUUGGGGUGGACCAAAAGGAAAGUGGAACAACUGGGCCGCAGUUUGAGCCAGAGAUAUCUCAAGAUCAUAAGGAUCCUUAGAGAACAAGUGGAGAGCCUGAAUGCGACCAAAAAUGAGCUGUGUGUGGAUGACGACACACUGCAGCAAUGGGUGGCCGAUGUGCAGAAAUGGGCUGAAGAAACUGAUCAAACUGAUGGCAGCUUUGGAGCGUUGCAGGCACGAAUAGAGGAGCUUGUCGUCAUCAUCAGAGUGCGAACACAAAGUCUUUACAGACAAAAUGAUAGCAACAAGAGGCGACACAGAAUUCGCAAGGUCAUAUUAGAUGAGAAAAAACGCUUGGCGGGUGCUGUUGACGACUACAACAAGCUUGCUGAACCAACAAAGCAAAUCGUAUCCAGUGAUGCCCUCAUGCAGACCGACAUUUGGCCCUGGCAGAGCACAAGUGAACCUGCUGCUGACGUCCGGACAAAGAGAAAGGUCUUUGAGAAGGUGAUGGCUGUGAGGCGCCUGAGAGAGGAGGAGAUGAUCCUUUGCAGGGAGAUGCAGCAUCACUGGACAGUGUUGCGAAUGCGAUCUGUGGUGUUGGGGACAAUCUCCUCAGACUCCUCCCUUGUUGGCAUGUCGGAGGAUGCACAGAAGGGACUCCGUAGCCUGGUUUUAAAAAAACAAAGUGAACUGAAAGCUGAAAUGCUCAAAAUAAAGGACAUGUACAAGAGAAUCCUCAGCCACCAACCACUCCUGGAAAUGGACUCGGAGGACGAGGACAUUCCAGACGAUGCCACUGAGAGUGAUUUGAGCACUUCUGAUGAAGACUGAUUGUGUCACCAUUGAUGUUAUUUUUGGUAAAAUAAAAAGUUAAUCACAUCUCUGUUUAAUGUGAUUUUUCAACAGACAUUUUACAUUUUGAGAAGAAAAAUGUAAUUCCCUUGGUGCAGUUGUUUACCCAUAAUCAUGCUUUCCCAUGUAAUUUAAU